UUAAUUCCCCCAUGUCUGCCUCUUCUGCCAGGGGUCUUUUCAAACAUAGACAAUCAUGGGAUAUUAAACUUGAAGGACAAUAGAGAUCAUCUAGUCCCAUCAACUCACUAUAUAUAUGAGGAACCUGAGGUCCAGAGUGGGGAAGUGUCUUACCCAAGGUCACAUGGUUUCAGAGAAAUUAUGUUGAAUCCAAUAAGCCUUCCCGGACAUUCCAAGCCUCUUAACCAUGGCAUCUAUGUUGAGGAUGUCAAUGUUUAUUUCAGCAAAGGACGUCAUGGCUUUUAAAAACUCCUUUUAAGCCUCCUUGUUUUGAUGUCACCUUGGUAGGCUGGGCCCUCUGAGAGGUUGGAAGCUCUAGGCAUUGUUCUCUUUGGAUCCAGGGAUGCUAAGUAGAAACUGCAUGAGCCACCAGUGCCCUGGCACCCUUUAACACCACCAGAUGGGUGUUUUCCCCCAUCCACCACUGGCAGGGUUGCCCCUUCCC
RNAcentral lists this long non-coding RNA (484 nucleotides) under Pan troglodytes (chimpanzee). RNAcentral describes it as "long non-coding RNA NONPTRT005770". Lineage: Eukaryota; Metazoa; Chordata; Mammalia; Primates; Hominidae. The record is from RNAcentral.